UGAAUGAGUGACAAAUGAGGAUGAUGAUGAUGAUAAGAACAGGUAAUGAUGAAUACAGCUGCAGAAAAGUAAAUUAAGCACGCUUGAUGUUUUAACAAACUGAAAUCACCCAGCCUUGUGCUAUGCCCAAACUUGUUUCAAGCACAUUCAAA
Molecule: long non-coding RNA, 152 nt
Organism: Populus euphratica (Euphrates poplar)
Lineage: Eukaryota; Viridiplantae; Streptophyta; Magnoliopsida; Malpighiales; Salicaceae
Exons: 2
Source: RefSeq, a predicted model, not a curated record